This 488-nucleotide ribosomal RNA is filed under the name uncultured bacterium. RNAcentral's name for it is "bacterial SSU rRNA". It matches the Rfam family "Bacterial small subunit ribosomal RNA", at positions 28 to 511 of the family's 1533-position model. The record is from RNAcentral.
GACGAACGCUGGCGGCGUGCCUAACACAUGCAAGUCGAACGAAGCUAUAUGGAAUGAGACUUCGGUCAAAGGAAGUAUAGACUUAGUGGCGGACGGGUGAGUAACGCGUGAGCAACCUGCCUUUCAGAGGGGGAUAACGUUUGGAAACGAACGCUAAUACCGCAUAACAUAUCGAAGCCGCAUGGCUUAGAUAUCAAAGGAGCAAUCCGCUGAAAGAUGGGCUCGCGUCUGAUUAGCUGGUUGGUGAGGUAACGGCCCACCAAGGCGACGAUCAGUAGCCGGACUGAGAGGUUGAUCGGCCACAUUGGGACUGAGACACGGCCCAGACUCCUACGGGAGGCAGCAGUGGGGGAUAUUGCACAAUGGGCGCAAGCCUGAUGCAGCAACGCCGCGUGAGGGAAGACGGUCUUCGGGAUUGUAAACCUCUGUCUUUAGUGAAGAAGAAGUGACGGUAGCCAAGGAGGAAGCCACGGCUAACUACGUGCCAG